CCUACGGGCGGCAGCAGUGAGGAAUAUUGGUCAAUGGGCGCGAGCCUGAACCAGCCAAGUAGCGUGAAGGAUGAAUGCCCUACGGGUUGUACACUUCUUUUAUAAAGGAAUAAAGUGAGGCACGUGUGCCUUUUUGUAUGUACUUUAUGAAUACAGAUCGGCUAACUCCGUGACAGCAGCCGCGGUAAUACGGAGGAUCCGAGCGUUAUCCGGAUUUCUUGGGUUUAAAGGGAGCGUAGGUGGAUUGUUAAGUCAGUUGUGAAAGUUUGCGGCUCAACCAUAAAAUUGCAGUUGAAACUGGCAGUCUUGAGUACAGUAGAGGUGGGCGGAAUUCGUGGUGUAGCGGUGAAAUGCUUAGAUAGCACGAAGAACUCCGAUUGCGAAGGCAGCUCACUGGACUGCAACUGACACUGAGGCUCGAAAGUGUGGGUAUCAAACAGGAUUAGAUACCCCGGUAGUA
RNAcentral lists this ribosomal RNA (460 nucleotides) under uncultured bacterium. Its description in RNAcentral is "partial 16S ribosomal RNA". It matches the Rfam family "Bacterial small subunit ribosomal RNA", at positions 338 to 795 of the family's 1533-position model. The record is from RNAcentral.